GUGAGUCAUCGAAUCUUUGAACGCACAUUGCGCCCGCCAGCAUUCUGGCGGGCAUGCCUGUUCGAGCGUCAUUUCAACCCUCAGGCCCUGCCUGGUGUUGGAGGACUGCACAUGCAGCCUCCCAAAGCAAGCGGCGGCGGCGCCCCAAAACCGAACGCAGUAGUUACUUCUCGUUCUGGGUCUGGGUCGUUGUCUUGCCGGAAAACCCCCAUCUUUUUAAUGGUUGACCUCGAAUCAGGUAGGAAUACCCGCUGAACUUAAGCAUAUCAAUAAGCGGAGGA
Molecule: unclassified non-coding RNA, 281 nt
Filed under: Chaetosphaeria sp.
Lineage: Eukaryota; Fungi; Ascomycota; Sordariomycetes; Chaetosphaeriales; Chaetosphaeriaceae
Description: partial contains 5.8S ribosomal RNA, internal transcribed spacer 2, and large subunit ribosomal RNA
Rfam family: 5.8S ribosomal RNA (bases 1-71)
Source: RNAcentral